Molecule: ribosomal RNA, 253 nt
Filed under: uncultured bacterium
Lineage: Bacteria
Description: partial 16S ribosomal RNA
Rfam family: Bacterial small subunit ribosomal RNA
Source: RNAcentral
UACGUAGGUGGCAAGCGUUGUCCGGAUUUACUGGGCGUAAAGGGCUCGUAGGCGGCCAACUAAGUCGGACGUGAAAUCCCCAGGCUCAACCUGGGAACUGCGUCUGAUACUGGAUGGCUUGAGUUUGGGAGAGGGAUGCGGAAUUCCAGGUGUAGCGGUGAAAUGCGUAGAGAUGUGGAGGAACACCGAUGGCGAAGGCAGCCCCCUGGGCUAACACUGACGCUCAUGCACGAAAGCGUGGGGAGCAAACAGG